This 745-nucleotide ribosomal RNA is filed under the name uncultured bacterium. Its description in RNAcentral is "bacterial SSU rRNA". It matches the Rfam family "Bacterial small subunit ribosomal RNA", at positions 65 to 818 of the family's 1533-position model. The record is from RNAcentral.
UACUUAGUAGCUCUUUAAGAGCGAAGGUGGGAUAGUGGCGAACGGGUGAGUGACACGUGGGUAACCUACCCUUAAAUGGGGAAUAAUCCGUCGAAAGACGGACUAAUACCGCAUGACGCUUUCUAACAUAAGUUAGAAGGCUAAAGGUCCCGUAAGGGAUUGUUUAAGGAUGGGCCCGCGGCCUAUUAGCUUGUUGGUAGGGUAAUAGCCUACCAAGGCGAUGAUGGGUAGCCGACCUGAGAGGGUAUACGGCCACACUGGGAUUGAGAUACGGCCCAGACUCCUACGGGAGGCAGCAGUGGGGAAUUUUGGACAAUGGGGGAAACCCUGAUCCAGCGACGCCGCGUGAGGGAUGAAGGCCUUCGGGUUGUAAACCUCUGUCAGAGAGGACGAAUUAGACGGUACUCUCAGAGGAAGCCACGGCUAACUCCGUGCCAGCAGCCGCGGUAAUACGGAGGUGGCAAGCGUUAUCCGGAUUCAUUGGGCGUAAAGGGCGUGUAGGUGUCCCCAUAAGUCGGAUGUGAAAUCCUUCUGCUUAACAGAAGAAUGGCAUUCGAAACUGUGGGGAUUGAGUACAGGAGAGGAGAGUGGAAUUCCUGGUGUAGCGGUGAAAUGCGUAGAUAUCAGGAGGAACACCGGUGGCGAAGGCGACUCUCUGGCCUGAUACUGACACUGAAACGCGAAAGCUAGGGGAGCAAACAGGAUUAGAUACCCUGGUAGUCCUAGCCGUAAACGAUGCUCACUA